Molecule: long non-coding RNA, 5920 nt
Organism: Salvelinus fontinalis (brook trout)
Lineage: Eukaryota; Metazoa; Chordata; Actinopteri; Salmoniformes; Salmonidae
Exons: 3
Source: RefSeq, a predicted model, not a curated record
GCCCAGGGGGUCUAAGGGCUGUUUUUACGCAAAAUCCCCCUCAUUCCUCUGCCCUCGUAUCUCUUUCCUCCCACCCACCUGAUUCAAUCAAAACGCCUCCGAUGCUAUGCGUGUCAAGUGUUUUCCUGUGACAGUAGAGCGAGAGAACCAGAAAUGUGACAGCUCAGUCGUGUUGCAGAAUUCAAGCAGAAAGACAGGCACCCAGAUCGGGCAGAAGCAGUGGGAGACACCGCUGUAGACCACCGGAACGGAGAACCUGUCGCCUUAGAUCAACUUACAAAGCGCGAAGAUUAAAGACAGAAGAGCGAGUCUGGUCGCACACACAUUGUCUCCUCCUUCUCCCAAGUCCUUUCAUUCAGUCCUCCUUCUCCCAAGUCCUUUCCUUCAGUCCUCCUUCUCCCAAGUCCUUUCCUUCAGUCCUCCUUCUCCCAAGUCCUUUCCUUCAGUCCUCCUUCUCCCAAGUCCUUUCCUUCAGUCCUCCUUCUCCCAAGUCCUUUCCUUCAGUCCUCCUUCUCCCAAGUCCUUUCCUUCAGUCCUCCUUCUCCCAAGUCCUUCAGUCCUCCUUCUCCCAAGUCCUUUCCUUCAGUCCUCCUUCUCCCAAGUCCUUUCCUUCAGUCCUCCUUCUCCCAAAUCCUUUCCUUCAGUCCUCCUUCUCCCAAGUCCUUUCCUUCAGUCCUCCUUCCGCCAAGUCCUUUAGUACUCCUUCUCCCAAGUCCUUUCCCUUUAAACAGCCACCAUUAUGGCUUCCAAACUGAAUCCGAAUGUCCUGUACGUCCAAGAACCACGGGAGUCUCUCUCAUCAUUGGAAACUGACCACCUGGCGCAACCCGAACCCGGUGAAGAGAGCUCCGAUAGUGACGGAGAGCCGGAUGAGACGGAGCAGAAACUAAUCCGGAAGGUGUCCACAUCGGGACAGCUACGAGCCAAGGUAGGAUAGACAAGAAUGCAAACACACACACGCACAGUGUACACACAUACAGUAGUCAGAUCUGUUGUGUUUUGCUUCAUUGUGCUGUGGCAUUAUAGGCCUAUUUGUCUCUUCAUAAUGAGAGCUUAAAGAGAUUCUCCGGUACUUUUGAAUACUUUUUAGCCAGUAGUUCUUGAAAGUAGCACUCACGAGCCAAAAGUGGUCCACGGAAAUUUCCCACUACGUCACAUAGAUUUAAAUACGGAUUUUAAAGCCUUUGAGACAAUUGAGACAUGAAUUGUGUAUGUGUGCCAUUCAGAGGUGAAUGGGCAAGACAAAAUAUUGAAGUGCCUUUGAACGGGGUAUGGUAGUAGGUGCCAGAUGCACCGGUUUGAGUCAAGAACUGCAACUCUGCUGGGUUUUUCAUGCUCAGCAGUUUCCCAUGUGUAUCAAGAAUGGUCCACCACCCAAAGGACAUCCAGCCAACUUGACACAACUGUGGGAAGCGUUGGAGUCAACAUGGACCAGCAUCCCUGUGGAAUGCGCUGAAUAUUAGGAAGAUGUUCCUAAUGUUUUGUAGACCCAGUGUAUGUGCAGAUAUGUACAUUGCUCUCUCUUUUACCCUGCUGUGUGUACAUCUUGCUAGCUGUCACUCAAAUGGCGAGGGGCGAAAGCUCAUUGGUUGAACUCGAAUUGCUAGGGGGCUGGCCCGCGAUGGGGGAAAUGUAGGAAAAUGGCACAGCUUCCAGAAAAACACUUUCAAACAAGGGAUUUUGUGGCUAAUUGAUGUAAGACAGUAAUUCUGCUCAUAGAUUAUGCAUGUAUGAACUACACAUUGACAUGUACAGCCCAAAGCGGGAGGUUUUAAAAAUACUCAUUAGUUGUCUAAGUUCAGGAGCAUGUCUUUAACUGGGGAAUUGAUCCUGGUUAGGAUAGUAGGCCUACUGUAGGUGUACUGAUCUGUAAACACUCUCACACUCUCUCUCUCUCACUCUCUCACACUCUCACACACUCUCACACACUCUCUCACUCUCUCUCUCUCGCUCUCUCGCUCUCUCUCGCUCACUCUCUCUCACUCUCUCUCACUCUCUCUCACUCUCUCACACACUCACGUCUCACUAGUAAAUUAUUAAUAAUGAAUUGUUGAAUAAGACAAACCUUUGUUUGAGGUUGGUCAAACAUUGACAGCGAUUUCUGGGUUGAAUUGUAACUGUUAUUGAUUGGUAGUCAUAGAUCAUGGUUCCCCAACUGGUGGACCGCGGGCCAAAUUCGGCCCGCAGGUGGUUUUAUUUGGCCCGCCAAGUUUUCUUUAGCAAAAAACUAUAGAUUUAUUUAUUUUAAAGACUGUAAAAAUAGGAAAUCAGCUCCAAGUGAUUUUAAUUUUGGAAAUCUAUCCCCAAGUAUUACCAUAAUAAUAAAGAGCAGUUAUUGUAUACAAACUUAAGUUGUGAAAUUAUUGUGUAGUCUAUUAUAUCUGUUUGGGCUUCUUGCUGUGACUUUGAUGUCUACAAAUGAUUUAGAAUUAUGUUCCGGCCCCCUGACCAUCUGCUCAAGAAAACAUUGGCCUGUGGCUGAAUCUAGUUAAUGAUCCCUGUCGUAGACCAUCAUGGAUCAAUAUGGAGCCAUACCUGUCACCUAUAUGUUGUUGUCAUGGUGAUGUUUGUUCCCAAGACUUCUGAUUCAAUCAGUGACUCAUUGUUGGUCAAAUCCCAAAUGAUACCCUAUUGACCUGUGACCCUUUACCUUUGACCAGAGCUAUAGGGUGUAUUUGAGAUGGUUCUUCUGAUACUGAUGUGUUGAUGAUGCUGUCUUGGUCCAGGUACUCUUAAAAAUAUGUCUAAUAUUUUUUUUUUAUCUCAACUAACGUGGAUAAAUAAAGGUUAAAUAAAAUAUACUGUAUGAGAAGGAGAUCAUCUCCAGCGGGACAACAUCUAUUGAUCGCUGGUUGUAUUGAUGAUUGGUUAGGUGAUCGUUGGUUAAUUGUUCCAUGUCUGGUUUCUUUCACAUGUCUCUGGCUGUGGUAAUUUUAGAUAAUCAAUAGUGUGGUUUUGAGGUAAUCAAUAUUGACAUGGACCAGAAACCUUACAAUGUGUUUCUCCUCAUUUUCCCCACACACACAGUAACUAUUAUCAAUGCCUAGAUUGUAGGUUCGGGGACGAUACCAGUAUCACGAUACUCGUUAGUAUCAUGGCAAGGAAACACCAAGCAGAUUUAACUUCUUUAGGAAAACAGCUGUAAUGUUGGAAACAAACAUCAUUAUGUUGUCACCCAGAGUCGCAUGUAUUUUCCAAGUUAUAGAGCACGGCAGGUAGCCUAGUGGUUAGAGUGUAGAGGCGGCAGGUAGCCUAGUGGUUAGAGUGUAGGGGCGGCAGUUAGCCUAGUGGUUAGAGUGUAGAGGCGGCAGGUAGCCUAGUGGUUAGAGUGUAGAGGCGGCAGGUAGCCUAGUGGUUAGAGUGUAGAGCACGGCAGGUAGCCUAGUGGUUAGAGUGUAGAGGCGGCAGGUAGCCUAGUGGUUAGAGUGUAGAGGCGGCAGGUAGCCUAGUGGUUAGAGUGUAGAGGCGGCAGGUAGCCUAGUGGUUAGAGUGUAGAGGCGGCAGGUAGCCUAGUGGUUAGAGUGUAGAGGCGGCAGGUAGCCUAGUGGUUAGAGUGUAGAGGCGGCAGGUAGCCUAGUGGUUAGAGUGUAGAGGCGGCAGGUAGCCUAGUGGUUAGAGUGUAGAGGCGGCAGGUAGCCUAGUGGUUAGAGUGUAGAGGCGGCAGGUAGCCUAGUGGUUAGAGUGUAGAGGCGGCAGGUAGCCUAGUGGUUAGAGUGUAGAGCACGGCAGGUAGCCUAGUGGUUAGAGUGUAGAGCACGGCAGGUAGCCUAGUGGUUAGAGUGUAGAGGCGGCAGGUAGCCUAGUGGUUAGAGUGUAGAGGCGGCAGGUAGCCUAGUGGUUAGAGUGUAGAGGCGGCAGGUAGCCUAGUGGUUAGAGAGUAGAGGCGGCAGGUAGCCUAGUGGUUAGAGCGUAGAGGCGGCAGGUAGCCUAGUGGUUAGAGCGUAGAGGCGGCAGGUAGCCUAGUGGUUAGAGCGUAGAGGCGGCAGGUAGCCUAGUGGUUAGAGCGUAGGGGCGGCAGGUAGCCUAGUGGUUAGAGCGUAGAGGCGGCAGGUAGCCUAGUGGUUAGAGCGUAGAGGCGGCAGGUAGCCUAGUGGUUAGAGUGUAGAGGCGGCAGGUAGCCUAGUGGUUAGAGUGUAGAGCACGGCAGGUAGCCUAGUGGUUAGAGUGUAGAGCACGGCAGGUAGCCUAGUGGUUAGAGUGUAGAGGCGGCAGGUAGCCUAGUGGUUAGAGUGUAGAGGCGGCAGGUAGCCUAGUGGUUAGAGUGUAGAGGCGGCAGGUAGACUAGUGGUUAGAGUGUAGAGGCGGCAGGUAGCCUAGUGGUUAGAGUGUAGAGCACGGCAGGUAGACUAGUGGUUAGAGUGUAGAGGCGGCAGGUAGACUAGUGGUUAGAGUGUAGGGGUGGCAGGUAGCCUAGUGGUUAGAGUGUAGAGGCGGCAGGUAGCCUAGUGGUUAGAGUGUAGGGGCGGCAGGUAGCCUAGUGGUUAGACUGUAGAGCACGGAAGGUAGCCUAGUGGUUAGAGUGUAGGGGCGGCAGGUAGCCUAGUGGUUAGAGUGUAGGGGCGGCAGGUAGCCUAGUGGUUAGACUGUAGAGCACGGCAGGUAGCCUAAUGGUUAGAGUGUAGGGGCGGCAGGUAGCCUAGUGGUUAGAGUGUAGGGGCGGCAGGUAGCCUAGUGGUUAGAGUGUAGAGGCGGCAGGUAGCCUAGUGGUUAGAGUGUAGAGGCGGCAGGUAGCCUAGUGGUUAGAGUGUAGGGGCGGCAGGUAGCCUAGUGGUUAGACUGUAGAGCACGGCAGGUAGCCUAGUGGUUAGAGUGUAGGGGCGGCAGAUAGCCUAGUGGUUAGAGUGUAGAGGCGGCAGGUAGCCUAGUGGUUAGAGUGUAGAGGCGGCAGGUAGCCUAGUGGUUAGAGUAUAGAGGCGGCAGGUAGCCUAGUGGUUAGAGUGUAGAGGCGGCAGGUAGCCUAGUGGUUAGAGUGUAGGGGCGGCAGGUAGCCUAGUGGUUAGAGUGUAGAGGCGGCAGGUAGCCUAGUGGUUAGAGUGUAGAGGCGGCAGGUAGCCUAGUGGUUAGAGUGUAGGGGCGGCAGGUUAGAGUGUAGGGGCGACAGGUAGCCUAGUGGUUCGAGCGUAGGGGCGGCAGGUAGCCUAGUGGUUAGAGCGUAGAGGCGGCAGGUAGCCUAGUGGUUAGAGUGUAGAGGCGGCAGGUAGCCUAGUGGUUAGAGUGUAGGGGCGGCAGGUAGCCUAGUGGUUAGUGUGUAGGGGCGGCAGGUAGCCUAGUGGUUAGAGUGUAGAGGCGGCAGGUAGCCUAGUGGUUAGAGUGUAGAGGCGGCAGGUAGCCUAGUGGUUAGAGUGUAGAGCACGGCAGGUAGCCUAGUGGUUAGAGUGUAGAGGCGGCAGGUAGCCUAGUGGUUAGAGUGUAGGGGCGGCAGGUAGCCUAGUGGUUAGAGUGUAGAGGCGGCAGGUAGCCUAGUGGUUAGAGUGUAGAGGCGGCAGGUAGCCUAGUGGUUAGAGUGUAGGGGCGGCAGGUAGCCUAGUGGUUAGAGUGUAGGGGCGGCAGGUAGCCUAGUGGUUAGAGUGUAGGGGCGGCAGGUAGCCUAGUGGUUAGAGUGUAGGGGCGGCAGGUAGCCUAGUGGUUAGAGUGUAAGGGCGGCAGGUAGCCUAGUGGUUAGAGUGUAGAGGCGGCAGGUAGCCUAGUGGUUAGAGUGUAGAGGCGGCAGGUAGCCUAGUGGUUAGAGUGUAGGGGCGACAGGUAGCCUAGUGGUUAGUGUAGGGGCGGCAGGUAGCCUAGUGGUUAGUGUAGGGGCGGCAGGUAGCCUAGUGGUUAGAGUGUAGAGGCGGCAGGUAGCCUAGUGGUUAGAGUGUAGGGGCGGCAGGUAGCCUAGUGGUUAGAGUGUAGAGGCGGCAGGUAGCCUAGUGGUUAGAGUGUA